Molecule: ribosomal RNA, 799 nt
Filed under: uncultured Actinomycetes bacterium
Lineage: Bacteria; Bacillati; Actinomycetota; Actinomycetes
Description: bacterial SSU rRNA
Rfam family: Bacterial small subunit ribosomal RNA
Source: RNAcentral
GGUGGCGAAGGCCGGAUCUUUUGGGCCCAUUACUGACCGCUGAGGGAGCGAAAAGCCGUGGGGGAGCGAAACCAGGAUUAGAUACCCCUGGUAGUCCCACCCCGUAAAACCGGUGGAACUUAGGUGUGGGGCGACAUUUCCAAGUUCGUUCGGUGCCCGCAGCUUAACGCAUUAAGUUCCCCGCCUUGGGGAAGUACGGCCCGCAAAGGCUAAAAACUCAAAGGAAUUGACGGGGGGCCCGCACAAGCAGCGGAGCAUGUGGCUUAUUUCGACGCAACGCGAAGAACCCUUACCAAGGCUUGACAUACACCGGAAACGGCCAGAGAUGGUCGCCCCCUUGUGGUCGGUGUACAGGUGGUGCAUGGCUGUCGUCAGCUCGUGUCGUGAGAUGUUGGGUUAAGUCCCGCAACGAGCGCAACCCUUGUCCUGUGUUGCCAGCAUGCCCUUCGGGGUGAUGGGGACUCACAGGAGACCGCCGGGGUCAACUCGGAGGAGGGUGGGGACGACGUCAAGUCAUCAUGCCCCUUAUGUCUUGGGCUGCACACGUGCUACAAUGGCCGGUACAAUGAGCUGCGAUACCGUGAGGUGGAGCGAAUCUCAAAAAGCCGGUCUCAGUUCGGAUUGGGGUCUGCAACUCGACCCCAUGAAGUCGGAGUUGCUAGUAAUCGCAGAUCAGCAUUGCUGCGGUGAAUACGUUCCCGGGCCUUGUACACACCGCCCGUCACGUCACGAAAGUCGGUAACACCCGAAGCCGGUGGCCCAACCCCUUGUGGGAGGGAGCUGUCGAAGGUGGGGCUGG